GACGAACGCUGGCGGCGUGCCUAAUACAUGCAAGUUGAGCGCUGAAGGUUGGUACUUGUACCGACUGGAUGAGCAGCGAACGGGUGAGUAACGCGUGGGGAAUCUGCCUUUGAGCGGGGGACAACAUUUGGAAACGAAUGCUAAUACCGCAUAAAAACUUUAAACACAAGUUUUAAGUUUGAAAGAUGCAAUUGCAUCACUCAAAGAUGAUCCCGCGUUGUAUUAGCUAGUUGGUGAGGUAAAGGCUCACCAAGGCGAUGAUACAUAGCCGACCUGAGAGGGGGAGCGGCCACAUUGGGACUGAGACACGGCCCAAACGCCUACGGGAGGCAGCAGUAGGGAAUCUUCGGAAAUGGACGAAAGUCUUACCGAGCAACGCCGGGGGAGGGAAGAAGGGUGUCGGAUCGUAAAACUCUGUUGGUAGAGAAGAACGUUGGUGAGAGUGGAAAGCUCAUCAAGUGACGGUAACUACCCAGAAAGGGACGGCUAACUACGUG
RNAcentral lists this ribosomal RNA (497 nucleotides) under uncultured bacterium. RNAcentral's name for it is "partial 16S ribosomal RNA". It matches the Rfam family "Bacterial small subunit ribosomal RNA", at positions 28 to 507 of the family's 1533-position model. The record is from RNAcentral.